RNAcentral lists this unclassified non-coding RNA (339 nucleotides) under soil metagenome. RNAcentral's name for it is "partial contains 5.8S ribosomal RNA, internal transcribed spacer 2, and large subunit ribosomal RNA". The stretch from base 1 to 120 matches the Rfam family "5.8S ribosomal RNA", at positions 35 to 154 of the family's 154-position model. The record is from RNAcentral.
GAUGAAGAACGUAGCGAAAUGCAAUAAGUAAUGUGAAUUGCAGAAUUCAGUGAAUCAUCGAAUCUUUGAACGCACAUUGCGCCCGCCAGUAUUCUGGCGGGCAUGCCUGUUCGAGCGUCAUUUCAACCAUCAAGCCCCCGGCUUGUGUUGGGGACCCUGCGGCUGCCCGCAGGCCCUGAAAACCAGUGGCGGGCUCGCUGUCACUCCGAGCGUAGUAGCAUAUAUCUCGCUCAGGGCGUGCUGCGGGUUCCGGCCGUUAAAAGCCUUUUUUUUACCCAAGGUUGACCUCGGAUCAGGUAGGAAGACCCGCUGAACUUAAGCAUAUCAAUAAGCGGAGGA